UAUUUUGUAUAUGGCUUAAAGCAAUUGUAUGCUUUAGAGCUAAUACAUGUUGCUGCUGUAGAUGUUGUAUUAUAAUUCCCUUACGGCAGAUCUGACCGCUAUUCAUAUACAAUUAACAUAAGUAUUAAGUAAAAUUUGAACAAAUUAUAUAUAAAAUUUCUGUCCAUUUAAAACAAAUAUUUAAUAUUUGAAAAUAACCUUUCUUAAAAACAUAAAUUGUAUGUUCGGAGAAAAGCAUAGGUAAACCGUUUAUUGGUACAUGUUGUUGUAAACACACCGCGUGCGUUCCUUUAAUUUUUCUUUUGGUUAAUAAAAACUGUUCCAUAUGCAAACAAGUUGACAUUUACAUUUACGAUUGACGUGUUUGAAACUUUGUUUAAAAUCUUUCUUCUGCGAGCACACCAUAUCAUGUAAGAUAUCUUAAUUUGCUCAUUAUAGAUAUAUUGACGAUCUAUUUGUGUUUAUUCAUGCCAGAAAAUAGUUUAUGUUGCUAAUUUUACCAAUAAAUGUCCGCUCGGAUUUCAGGCGGUGAUUUUGCUAUGGUAAAUCGCGAAACCAGUUGCAACUCCCAGGACCCGGAGGGUCAAUAACUGGGAGUUGGAUUAUUGCAACUACCGGUAUGACCACUGUUAUUUUGACGAUUUUUCUAUCGGUUCGUCGGUAAGCGUGACCACAUGUGACAACAGCGAUGCUAGUUGGAUAUAAAAUUGGUAGACGUGUCGUUGAACUCGACACAUUGACCGAAUCGCUUUUAGCAUGCAGUGCUUGUCAAGUGCCCAUGAAUUUACUUAACACUGUAGAAAGCAGGGAUUUCGGACAGGCAUGUGUUUUGGACAUACAGUUUAGCAAUUGUGGUGCAGUAAAUAAUGUGGCAUCUGGACGGAAACAUGGCAGAGUUUAUGACAUGAUCACAAAGCUUGCAUUUGGGUAAAUCAAAAACUGGGUGUUUCACCUGGGACUUUCACAUCGAAACUGGCCCUUCUCCAUGACCUUCAGCACAAAAAAGAAAGGCUAUAGCUGUUACUCGUGCAGCAAAACAGUGACGCAUAAGACUUAAAACUCGAACGGCAUUCAAAGGACAGUGCAAGAAGUACGAGUGGGACCAACAUACAGUUCAAACAUAGAGGACCAAGACGUUGAAGUUACAACUAUACCCCCACCUAUACAAAUUGAACAUAUGCUUAUAUAGGGUCUAUUUUGUGAAAACUUCACAUAUUUUUUCGUCCAUAACCAUUGGGCCUUGGGCUUCCAAAUUUGGUAUGUAGUGGCAUCUUAUAGUCCUCUACCAAGUUUGUUCAAAUUAUGCCCCUAGGGUCAAGUUUGACCCUGCCCUGAGGUUCACAAAAUUGAACAUAUGCUUAUAUAAGGCAUUUUUUGUGAAAACUUUAAAAAUCUUCUUGUUCAUAUUAGUAUGGCAUAGGGCUACCAAAUUUGGUAUGUAGUGACAUGUAAUAGUUCUCUACCAAGUUUGUUCAAGUUAUGCCCCUUGGGUUAAAUUUGAAACUGCCCCGGGGGUUACAAAACUGAACAUAUGCUUAUAAAGUGCUUAAUUUGUGAAAACUUAAAAAAAAAUUGUCCAUAUCUAUUGGGCCUAGGGCUACCAAAUUUGGUAUGUAGUGACAUCUUAUAAACCUCUACCAAAUUUGUUCAAAUAAUGCCUCUGGGGUCAACUUUGACCCUGCCGCGGGGGGUCACAAAAUUUAAUAAACGCUUAUAAAGCGCCUAUUUUUUGAAAUCUUAAAAAAUCUUGUUGAAAACCAUUCUGACUAUGGCUACCAAAUUUGGUAUGCAGGAACAUCUUAUAGUCAUCUACCAAGUUUGUUACUUUGGGUCAAAUUUGACCCUGACCCGCGGGUCACAAAAUUGAACAUUAUAUACGCUUGUAUCUUGCUUAUUUUGUGAAAACUUUAAAAAUAUUCUUGUCCUUAACUCUACAUCUAAGACUUAGGGCCACCACAUUUUGUAUGGAGUGAGAUAUAGUAGUCCUCUACAAAGUUUGCUCAAAUUAUGCCCCUGGGGUUAAAUUUGACCCAGCCCAGGUGGUCACAAAAUUGUACAUGUGCUUAAAUAGGGCCUAUAUUUAAGUAUCUGCACAUGCGGAGAAUAUUUGUUUCAGUAUUUUUUUCAGCAGUGGAGCGAUACAGGGCCAUCAUGGCCUCUUGUCUUUAAAUACACAUCACACAGUUCUAAAAAUAAUUUUAAAAUACCUAAUACAUAUGUUCAAUUUACAACCAACAACAUGGGUAACAGGUGGGUGGGGUAAUUUAAGAUGUUUAUAUGAACAUCAACAUUGUUUUUUCAGUUGUUACAUCUGAAAUAUUUUCAUAACAAUAUACAUUAUAAAUAUUUCUACGUGUAUCACAUUUCAGUUGAUAAUUUGAUUGUUAUGGAGCAGUUAUUAUAUAGAUAUGUUUUAAAUACUAUUACAAUGUUAGUCAUUGUAUUUUUGAAAUUAAGUCCAUAUUAAAAUGUCUAUAGCAAAAAAAAAUCCACGGUGACCUAUCAAUUUCUUUACUUCAUUUUAAUGCUUAGCUAGUUUCCUUUAAUUAUUGAGAACUUCAAAUGAAUUUGAAUAUUACAUCAACAGAAAUAUGUAUCUGUAUUGCAUGUUAUCUAUUUUGAACUGUGCAAUAAAAAAUUCAAAACAAACAAAAAACUAUUCAUACUUAUUUCUCAUUAUUUUUUACGAUUUCCAUAAUUUUUGGUUUUAAAACUGUUCACUAUGAUAAUACACAUGUUACAGUUGCUAAUCUAAUG
This is a long non-coding RNA of Dreissena polymorpha, 2757 nucleotides long. RefSeq lists it as uncharacterized. The transcript has 3 exons. The record is from RefSeq and is a predicted model, not a curated record. Lineage: Eukaryota; Metazoa; Mollusca; Bivalvia; Myida; Dreissenidae.